ACAAAAAAAAUCUACAUUGAUAGCAGAUUGUUAUAGCACGUUUUACUAAAUUGCUAUCGUAGAUCAUUUAAAAUAUUCAUGUAUUAUAUAAUAGCGCUAGAUAAGCGCUACGAUAGAGUUUCAGUAAAAUAGCGCUUGAUAAAUGCUAUCAUAGAUAGAAUUAUUGAUUCCGCCAAUACUUAACGGAAAAUUAGAUUUAAGCGCCAAAGACAUUAUUUAAGCGGUUUCAGUAAUGCUAUCAAAGACAUAUAAUAGCAUUUUUCUAACACUAAGAAAAAUUAUUUGAACCCCUAAACCCCAAACAAGAUUUUAAACCAUAAACAAAGUUUUAAACCCUAAACUCUAAAGACAACCCUUAAAACUCUAAUCUUUUCAUAUUAUAACUUCAAAUCUUAAAAUUAAACUCAAAAUUUUAUCUUCUUAAUCGUAAACUAUAAUUUCCUAAACACAAAUCUUUAAUCUUUAAUCAAAUUCUAUAUCUCAAAUCCUAACUUCAAACAUAAACUAUACAUUCAAUACUCUAAAUAUAAACUUCAAAUCUACACUAUUAAAAAUUUAACUACAAAUCUUAUCUAGUCUUCAAAUCUAUUAUCUUACAACUUUAAUCCAAAAUACUAAACUUUAACCCUAAACCUCGUAUUCCAAUAUCCAAACCUUAAAUCACAAAACUAACUUUACUCUUAAUCAUAGUUUUUUAUAAUCCAUAAAAUCUAAUUUUUAUAAACCAUAAAAUCUAAUUUUUAUAUAUAUAUAAUAUUUAAAUUUUUACAUGUUAGAUUAAAAUUAAAAUAAUCAUCUUUUUAUAUAUAAAAUUAAAAUUAAAAUAAACUAAAAAGUGAAUAUAAUCAUUAAUCUCCCCAUUUUUAAUAGUUAAUUCAUUAAAUGGCGGAUUGUAAUCUGAACCGUUGAUUAGAUCUCAUCUAAUGGUCUAGAUUGAUCCAUCUAUGCUUCUUCCUCUAUCUCCAUGCUUCAUCUCCAUUGGUCAAUAUUUCUCACACUUGGAUUGCUAUCUCCAUUGUUCAUUAUCUCUAAUCCAAAGGUGCACAGUCUUAGUCACUUUAUUUAUUUUUAAUGUACUUUUCUCAUCUUCUCUUCUCCUCUCGCCGACAGGUUUUUACUUUUCUUACUUCAACCCAUUUUCAACAAAUCGAAGAAGAAGAACUGUUGGAGAAGAACACGAUGGUCUCCCAUUGAGGAAACCCCGCCUCUGUCGCUGUUGUGAAGGAAGCACUGUGACUCAUCUCUACUCUGUGACGUCUCCCUCCUUCACGGCAAGCACUCAUCUCAAAUGUUUGCUCUUGCUGAAAUCAAUUUGUGGUUUGGUUGAUGACAGAGGAAGCUAGUGCCCUCGUCUUCUCCUCUCUGCUCCUCCAACAAGACGAAAGAGAAAGAAGCAAACAAGAAGAGACAUCACCGUAACUUGCUCAGAUCAGGUUGGCCAGAGAGGAUGAAGAAGAAUACGCCGUGUAGGUGGUUGAGGUGGUGAAGGAAGAUGAAGAAGCUUAAUGGACGUGGUGUUGAUGGCGGCUGAGUUAGAUUUUUUGUAGGGUUAGAUUUUUUUUUGUUUAUCUGGUUUAGUGUAAACCUAAACCAAUUUGUAACUGUAAACCAAUGUAAUUGUAAACCAAUGUAAUUGUAAACCAAAAUUCAAUUUAUAAAAUUAAAUACCAAUUUAUUAUUUUUAGUUAA
Molecule: long non-coding RNA, 1689 nt
Organism: Brassica napus (rape)
Lineage: Eukaryota; Viridiplantae; Streptophyta; Magnoliopsida; Brassicales; Brassicaceae
Exons: 2
Source: RefSeq, a predicted model, not a curated record